RNAcentral lists this ribosomal RNA (497 nucleotides) under uncultured bacterium. RNAcentral's name for it is "partial 16S ribosomal RNA". It matches the Rfam family "Bacterial small subunit ribosomal RNA", at positions 28 to 507 of the family's 1533-position model. The record is from RNAcentral.
GAUGAACGCUGGCGGCGUGCCUAAUACAUGCAAGUCGAGCGAACAGACGAGGAGCUUGCUCCUCUGACGUUAGCGGCGGACGGGUGAGUAACACGUGGAUAACCUACCUAUAAGACUGGGAUAACUUCGGGAAACCGGAGCUAAUACCGGAUAAUAUAUUGAACCGCAUGGUUCAAUAGUGAAAGACGGUUUUGCUGUCACUUAUAGAUGGAUCCGCGCCGCAUUAGCUAGUUGGUAAGGUAACGGCUUACCAAGGCGACGAUGCGUAGCCGACCUGAGAGGGUGAUCGGCCACACUGGAACUGAGACACGGUCCAGACUCCUACGGGAGGCAGCUGUAGGGAAUCUUCCGCAAUGGGCGAAAGCCUGACGGAGCAACGCCGCGUGAGUGAUGAAGGUCUUCGGAUCGUAAAACUCUGUUAUUAGGGAAGAACAAAUGUGUAAGUAACUAUGCACGUCUUGACGGUACCUAAUCAGAAAGCCACGGCUAACUACGUG